UGGGGAAUAUUGCACAAUGGGCGAAAGCCUGAUGCAGCGACGCCGCGUGAGGGAUGACGGCCUUCGGGUUGUAAACCUCUUUCAGCAGGGACGAAGCUUUAUUGUGACGGUACCUGCAGAAGAAGCACCGGCUAACUACGUGCCAGCAGCCGCGGUAAUACGUAGGGUGCGAGCGUUGUCCGGAAUUAUUGGGCGUAAAGAGCUUGUAGGCGGUUUGUCGCGUCUGCUGUGAAAGCCCGGGGCUUAACUCCGGGUCUGCAGUGGGUACGGGCAGACUAGAGUAUGGUAGGGGAGACUGGAAUUCCUGGUGUAGCGGUGGAAUGCGCAGAUAUCAGGAGGAACACCGAUGGCGAAGGCAGGUCUCUGGGCCAUAACUGACGCUGAGAAGCGAAAGCAUGGGUAGCGAACAGG
This 411-nucleotide ribosomal RNA is filed under the name uncultured bacterium. Its description in RNAcentral is "bacterial SSU rRNA". It matches the Rfam family "Bacterial small subunit ribosomal RNA", at positions 355 to 776 of the family's 1533-position model. The record is from RNAcentral.